CGGUAAUACGUAGGGUGCGAGCGUUGUCCGGAAUUAUUGGGUUUAAAGGGUGCGUAGGCGGCCUAUUAAGUCAGUGCUGAAAUAUCCCGGCUUAACCGGGAGGGUGGCAUUGAUACUGAUGGGCUUGAGUGGAUUCGAGGUAGGCGGAAUUGACGGUGUAGCGGUGAAAUGCUUAGAUAUCGUCAAGAACACCGAUAGUGUAGACAGCUUACUAGACUUCAACUGACGCUGAGGCACGAAAGUGUGGGGAUCAAAC
RNAcentral lists this ribosomal RNA (256 nucleotides) under uncultured bacterium. Its description in RNAcentral is "partial 16S ribosomal RNA". It matches the Rfam family "Bacterial small subunit ribosomal RNA", at positions 518 to 773 of the family's 1533-position model. The record is from RNAcentral.